UACAGAGGGUGCGAGCGAUAAUCGGAAUUACUGGGCGUAAAGCGCGCGUAGGCGGCUUUGCAAGUCGGGUGUGAAAUCCCCAGGCUUAACCUGGGAACUGCAUUCGAGACUGCAUUGCUAGAGUAUGGGAGAGGGAAGUGGAAUUUCCGGUGUAGCGGUGAAAUGCGUAGAUAUCGGAAGGAACAUCAGUGGCGAAAGCGACUUCCUGGACCAAUACUGACGCUCAUGUGCGAAAGCGUGGGGAGCAAACAGG
RNAcentral lists this ribosomal RNA (253 nucleotides) under uncultured bacterium. RNAcentral's name for it is "partial 16S ribosomal RNA". It matches the Rfam family "Bacterial small subunit ribosomal RNA", at positions 524 to 776 of the family's 1533-position model. The record is from RNAcentral.